This 792-nucleotide ribosomal RNA is filed under the name uncultured bacterium. RNAcentral describes it as "bacterial SSU rRNA". It matches the Rfam family "Bacterial small subunit ribosomal RNA", at positions 8 to 776 of the family's 1533-position model. The record is from RNAcentral.
AGAGUUUGAUCAUGGCUCAGAACGAACGCUGGCGGCGUGGCUAAAGCAUGCAAGUCGCACGCGAACGCUCCCUUCGGGGAGUUAUUAGAGUGGCGAAAGGGCGAGUAACGCAUGGGUAACGUACCCCUCGCACGGGGAUAGCUGCGGGAAACUGCAGGUAAUACCCGAUGAGACCACAGUGCCAUAGGGCACAGCGGUCAAAGGGUGGGGAUCCUUCGGGACCUACUGGCGAGAGAGCGGCCCAUGUCCUAUCAGCUUGUUGGUGAGGUAACGGCUCACCAAGGCAUCGACGGGUACCGGGACUGAGAGGUUGGCCCGGCGCAUUGGGACUGAGACACUGCCCAGACUCCUACGGGAGGCUGCAGCACCGAAUAUUCCGCAAUGGGCGCAAGCCUGACGGAGCGACGCCGCGUGUGGGAUGAAGCCCUUCGGGGUGUAAACCACUGUCAGGGACUACCAAGCAAUGAGGGUUAAUACCCCUCGGCGUUGAGGAUUCCCAGAGGAAGCCACGGCUAACUUCGUGCCAGCAGCCGCGGUAAGACGAAGGUGGCAAGCGUUGUUCGGAAUCACUGGGCUUAAAGAGCACGUAGGCGGCCUGUCAAGCGUCGGGUGAAAUCCCUCGGCUCAACCGAGGAAUGGCAAGGCGAACUGACAGGCUUGAGGCAGGUAGGGGCACAUGGAACUCUUGGUGGAGCGGUGGAAUGCGUAGAUAUCAAGAGGAACGCCGGUGGCGAAAGCGGUGUGCUGGGCCUGUCCUGACGCUGAGGUGCGAAAGCCAGGGGAGCAAACGGG